Molecule: non-coding RNA, 2439 nt
Organism: Solanum lycopersicum (tomato)
Lineage: Eukaryota; Viridiplantae; Streptophyta; Magnoliopsida; Solanales; Solanaceae
Source: RefSeq, a predicted model, not a curated record
UUCAGUCUAGAUUUUGAACUUGUGUUAGGCCCGGUAUCAUAUCUUUACCAUUACUUUAACAAUCGGUGGCUUGUGCAAAAUUUUCCCAAUCACAUGACGGGCGGCGGUAUUGAAUUUGGAGAGGUGAAGGGCAAACAGAAGAUUUACUCAACCACUUUCGCUUCAAUCGCUCUCCCUUUUCCCAUGCAUAUUAUUUUUCUUCUUCUAUAAACCCUACCUUUCGGCUUUUCUAUUCCGGAUUCCCUUGGAUGCUACACACUCUCCUAUUUCGUUGUCCUUAUAAGAGUUAGGGCUACCUGCUAGAUACCUACUUGCCUGUUUGUGUGGGACUCGCGGCCUUGGAAUGCUAUGCGAAGGGGAGUUGUUCCAAACCUUGCUCACAUUCAAACCAUGCAUCAAAUCAAUAAGUGAAGACCACACAUCUUUUUCAUAAGCUUUAUCGCUUCAUAAGUAUAUAUUAGUAUCUCAAUUUAUAAUUUAACUAGCAUUAUUUUGGUGCAUUUCACCAAGUUUGCCUGAGUCAUUCCGCUAUGGCAGAUGAUCAUCAUCAUCACUAAGCCCCAUCAUUCUCUUAGUGAUGUCAACGUCAGCAGAAGGUCCAUAUUGCCGGCAACAAGCCACAAAAUAAAGCAGAUUAAAAGCUGUCAAUACAGCAAGAAGCCAGUAGUAAUACUCAUAGUGUCCCUUGUUGAUAUUGCUUGAAACCCAACUUUCUGUUCCUUCUCCUUUGGUGUACUUAUCCACAGCACUCAAAAUCACACUUGCUAAAAGACUUGCCACUGCCAUUCCCAGUCCUAAAAGAGCAGAUGCAAUACUUGACAUACUCUUUGGGAGCUCUGAAUAAUAGAACUCUGUGGAACCGAUCGCACUGAAUGCCUCUGCUAUCCCGUUUAAACUGUUUGGUAUUAUGAGCCACAAUGCCGACAUCUCCACCAAACCCUGUGAAUUGUUCAAGAGCCCUUGAUUGAUUGCUUUUCUUCGUCGAACAUGUUCAACAAUUCCAGAGACUACCAUUGACAUGCAAGAGAUGAAUAUGCCAAUUCCCAUUCUGACUAUUGGUUUUAGACGAACUGGUCUUCCUCUGAUCUUCGAUGCCAAUGGAAGCAUCAUGCGGUCAUAGAAAAAAACCCAAAUUGUUAAAGCAAUCAUCAUAAACAUCCCAAAUGACCCAGCUGGAAUUUGGAAUCCUUUAUUUAGAUGCCUAUUCAUGGAUUGAGCUUGUAGUAGAGGGAAUGAACUUUGGCUCAAGUUUAUUGAUAUCAUGAUCCCCGUCGACCACAAUGGCAUGACUCUAACGAGGGAUUUUAGCUCCUCAACUUGCUCCACUGUGCAAAGGUUCCAUGGAUUGGCUGCACCUCCAUUUAGCUUAACAUCUUCAGGGCUUUUAAUGAUGCAAGCUUUGUUUAAGAAUCUCAAUUUAUCCGAUGGCGCUUGAGGUCCUGAACCACUCUUGUGAUGGUAAUCAGAGUUCUGAUUGGGGUAACGGAGUUUCCUAUUCUUGCAGGCAACGACAAGUACUUGUAUAAAGCUGGCAAAGACGUUCGAGCGAACCUUUGGCUUGAUAUAAAACGGAGAAGCAAGGAAGAAAAACAGCACGGAUAAGAACAUGAGGAUUGCAGGAACUCCAAAACCUAUUUUCCACCCGAAUCUGUCUUGAAGGUAAACAAUACCUGUCAGGGCAAUCAGAACAGAGACUAUGGAUGAAGUAUAAUACCAGGCAAAGAAGCUCUCCAACACCGUACGCUUGUUGGAAUUAUUAUCUCCCUUGUCAAACUGGUUAGCACCAAAAGCUAAAGAACACGGUCUUAUACCUCCUGCACCAAUUGACAUGAGCAGAAACGAGAAAACCAAGAGCAUGUAUUGUGAUGUCGUUGUAGAUUUACAAGCCUGUCCUGAUUGAUUGCAAGGCGGAGGCCUUGCUCUCGGAAUCAUAGCUGUUAACCACAACACUGCUGUUCCCUGCAACAAGAGGACAUUGACGUGUUAAAAGUCAGAUUCCCUUGGAUGCUACACACUCUCCACAAUAUCCAGCUAUAUCAGAACGUUGUGUGUUAGGAUUACCUGAGAAAGACUAUGGUGAAGUGGUGUGUGCAAUUGUUUUUCCUGACUCUAGCUGAGUUCAGAAGAAAACAAGCUGAGGAAUUGAAGCCUGCACUAAGCUUGUCCCUUAUAAGGUAUUUCUCCUUGUUUUGUGAAUUAAUUUGACACAAAAUAUUUAUGCAAGAACUAACUAACUUCAUGCAAAAUAGUUAAUUUUAUGAAAUAAACACUUUAUACAUAUAUAUAUAUGUCUGUAAGGCAGCAUCAAGUUUGCGACAUAUUUUAGCUUCAACUUAAAAGUUGUUACUUUCUCUUAUAUAUGUUUUGAUUUAAUCUUUAUAGUACAAAGAAAGUCGAAUAAUAUAUGUACAUUCUAAUUUAUUAUUUACAAUACAAACA